RNAcentral lists this ribosomal RNA (383 nucleotides) under Shablogammarus subnudus. Its description in RNAcentral is "partial 16S ribosomal RNA". The stretch from base 196 to 383 matches the Rfam family "Bacterial large subunit ribosomal RNA", at positions 2084 to 2619 of the family's 2925-position model. The record is from RNAcentral. Lineage: Eukaryota; Metazoa; Arthropoda; Malacostraca; Amphipoda; Gammaridae.
AUUGAAACUAGUAUGAACGGUUUAAUUAACUUAAUUAGUUUGUAAUUUUAAUAAUAAAUUAAAGAUAAAGUAAGAAUUCUUUAAUAAAUUAGGGGACGAUAAGACCCUAAAAGCUUUAUGAAUGGUGUUUAGUUGGUGUUGUUAGGAAUAUUGAUUUGCUGGGGCAGCAAUUUUACUUGUAUUAAAAUAUAAUUAAAAGAUCCUUUAAAUAAAGAUUUUAUGUGUUAGUUACUUUAGGGAUAACAGUGCGAUAUAUUUGGGGAGACCGUAUCUAUAAAUAUGAUUGCAACCUCGAUGUUGAAUUAGAGUUUCUACAUGAGCAGAAUAUGUGUUAGAAAGUUUGUUCAACUUUUAAAUUUCUACAUGAUCUGAGUUCAAACCGG